This 535-nucleotide small RNA is filed under the name Pan troglodytes (chimpanzee). RNAcentral describes it as "processed transcript". The record is from RNAcentral. Lineage: Eukaryota; Metazoa; Chordata; Mammalia; Primates; Hominidae.
GAAUGGCACGGGCAGCCUUCCUCGCAACCUGGCAGCCACACUGCAGGACAUCGAGACCAAGCGCCAACUAGCUCUGCAGCAGAAGGGACAACAGGUGAUUGAAGAGCAGCGGCGGCGACUGGCUGAGCUGAAGCAGAAAGCGGCAGCUGAGGCACAGUGCCAGUGGGAUGCCCUUCAUGGGGCAGCACCCUUCCCAGCGGGCCCCUCGGGCUUCCCCCCUCUCAUGCACCACUCUAUCCUACACCACCUGCCUGCGGGGCGGGAGCGUGGGGAGGAGGGUGAGCACGCCUACGAUACGCUGAGUCUGGAGAGCUCUGACAGCAUGGAGACCAGCAUCUCCACCGGGGGCAACUCGGCCUGCUCCCCUGACAACAUGUCCAGCGCGAGUGGUCUGGACAUGGGGAAGAUCGAGGAGAUGGAGAAGAUGCUGAAAGAGGCUCAUGCAGAGAAGAACCGGCUCAUGGAGUCGAGGCCAGGGCUCUUGGAGAGGGUGGGCUUUGAAGAUGAUGCCUCCUCAUGCCAGACUACCCUGAGG